ACUCUGAUAUUGUAAUGGCAGCAUCUCAGUCUCCAAAACUGAUAGUACUGGUUCGAGUCCGGUUCGGAGUGCAA
This 74-nucleotide transfer RNA is filed under the name Chryseobacterium sp. CH1. RNAcentral's name for it is "tRNA-Trp". It matches the Rfam family "tRNA". Rfam says of the family: Transfer RNA (tRNA) molecules are approximately 80 nucleotides in length. Their secondary structure includes four short double-helical elements and three loops (D, anti-codon, and T loops). Lineage: Bacteria; Pseudomonadati; Bacteroidota; Flavobacteriia; Flavobacteriales; Weeksellaceae. RNAcentral also lists the same sequence under 1 other name. The record is from RNAcentral.